Molecule: small nuclear RNA, 175 nt
Filed under: Nannospalax galili (Upper Galilee mountains blind mole rat)
Lineage: Eukaryota; Metazoa; Chordata; Mammalia; Rodentia; Spalacidae
Description: U2 spliceosomal RNA (ENSNGAG00000003778.1)
Rfam family: U2 spliceosomal RNA
About the family: U2 is a small nuclear RNA (snRNA) component of the spliceosome (involved in pre-mRNA splicing). Complementary binding between U2 snRNA (in an area lying towards the 5' end but 3' to hairpin I) and the branchpoint sequence (BPS) of the intron results the bulging out of an unpaired adenosine, on the BPS, which initiates a nucleophilic attack at the intronic 5' splice site, thus starting the first of two transesterification reactions that mediate splicing.
Source: Rfam by way of RNAcentral
GCUGUUUCUCAGCCUUUUGGCUAAGAUCAAGGGUAGUAUCUGUUCGUAGCUGAUCCGUCCUCUAACUAAAAACUAUUAAAUGGAUUUUUAGAGCUUGGAGAUGGAAUAAGAGCUUGCUCCAUGCACUCAUACGUCAACCUUGUGUUGUAGUACCUCCAGGAAAAGUGCCCGCACA